This 501-nucleotide ribosomal RNA is filed under the name uncultured bacterium. RNAcentral's name for it is "partial 16S ribosomal RNA". It matches the Rfam family "Bacterial small subunit ribosomal RNA", at positions 30 to 523 of the family's 1533-position model. The record is from RNAcentral.
AUUGAACGCUGGCGGCAGGCUUAACACAUGCAAGUCGAGCGGAGAUGAGGUGCUUGCACCUUAUCUUAGCGGCGGACGGGUGAGUAAUGCUUAGGAAUCUGCCUAUUAGUGGGGGACAACAUUCCGAAAGGAAUGCUAAUACCGCAUACGCCCUACGGGGGAAAGCAGGGGGUCUUCGGACCUUGCGCUAAUAGAUGAGCCUAAGUCGGAUUAGCUAGUUGGUGGGGUAAAGGCCUACCAAGGCGACGAUCUGUAGCGGGUCUGAGAGGAUGAUCCGCCACACUGGGACUGAGACACGGCCCAGACUCCUACGGGAGGCAGCAGUGGGGAAUAUUGGACAAUGGGCGGAAGCCUGAUCCAGCCAUGCCGCGUGUGUGAAGAAGGCCUUUUGGUUGUAAAGCACUUUAAGCGAGGAGGAGGCUACCUGGAUUAAUACUCUAGGAUAGUGGACGUUACUCGCAGAAUAAGCACCGGCUAACUCUGUGCCAGCAGCCGCGGUAA